RNAcentral lists this ribosomal RNA (394 nucleotides) under uncultured bacterium. RNAcentral's name for it is "partial 16S ribosomal RNA". It matches the Rfam family "Bacterial small subunit ribosomal RNA", at positions 338 to 729 of the family's 1533-position model. The record is from RNAcentral.
CCUACGGGUGGCAGCAGGGAGGAAUAGUGGGCAAUGGGGGAGAGCCUGAAGCAGCGAAGGAGCGGGAAGGAGGAAGGCCCUACGGGUGGUAAACUUCAUUUAUAAAGGAAUAAAGUGAGGCACGUGUGCCUUUUUGCAUGUACUUUAUGAAUAAGGACAGGCUAACUCCGUGCCAGCAGCCGCUGUAAUACGGGGGAUCCGAGCGUUAUCCGGAUUUAUGGGGUUUAAAGGGGGCGUAGACGGUCGGGUAAGUUAGAGGUGAAAGCCCGGGGCUCAACCUCGUAAUUGCCUCUGAUACUGUUAGGCUAGAGCGUAGUUGCGGUAGGCGGAAUGUCUGGUGUAGCGGUGAAAUGCUUAGAGAUCAUGCAGAACACCGAUUGCGAAGGCAGCUUAC